CCUACGGGAGGCAGCAGUGAGGAAUAUUGGUCAAUGGACGAGAGUCUGAACCAGCCCAAGUAGCGUGCAGGAUGACGGCCCUAUGGGUUGUAAACUGCUUUUAUAAGGGAAUAAAGUGAGCCUCGUGAGGCUUUUUGCAUGUACCUUAUGAAUAAGGACCGGCUAAUUCCGUGCCAGCAG
This 180-nucleotide ribosomal RNA is filed under the name uncultured bacterium. Its description in RNAcentral is "partial 16S ribosomal RNA". It matches the Rfam family "Bacterial small subunit ribosomal RNA", at positions 338 to 514 of the family's 1533-position model. The record is from RNAcentral.